AUUGCUUCUUGGUCUUUUGGCUAAGAUCCAGCAUAAUAUCCGCAUCAGUUUAGUAAAUGAUAUGUCCUUUAACUGAGGACAACAUAUUAAAUGGAUUUUUGAAACAGAGAUGAAAAGCUACUUUCUCCAUCCAUUGCUACUGACCUCUCAGAGGUAUUGUACUACCUGAGAAUAGGGUACCCCCU
Mastomys coucha (southern multimammate mouse) is the source of this 185-nucleotide small nuclear RNA. RefSeq annotates it as U2 spliceosomal RNA. NCBI's taxonomy places the organism in Eukaryota, Metazoa, Chordata, Mammalia, Rodentia, Muridae. The transcript has a single exon. The record is from RefSeq and is a predicted model, not a curated record.